CCAAUAGCGUAUAUUAAAGUUGUUGCAGUUAAAAAGCUCGUAGUUGAAUUUCGGGAUCAAUAUGCCGGUCAUGCCUUGGUAUGCACUGGUAUCUUUGAUUUCUCCCUUCUGACGAACUUUGAUGUCAUUAAUUUGGUGUCAUAGGGAAUUAGGACUGUUACUUUGAAAAAAUUAGAGUGUUUAAAGCAAGCUCACGCUUG
RNAcentral lists this ribosomal RNA (200 nucleotides) under uncultured Glomus. Its description in RNAcentral is "partial small subunit ribosomal RNA". It matches the Rfam family "Eukaryotic small subunit ribosomal RNA", at positions 591 to 797 of the family's 1831-position model. Lineage: Eukaryota; Fungi; Glomeromycota; Glomeromycetes; Glomerales; Glomeraceae. The record is from RNAcentral.